CUGCUGCCUCCCGUAGGAGUCUGGACCGUGUCUCAGUUCCAGUGUGGGGGGCCUUCCUCUCAGAACCCCUACGCAUCGUCGCCACGGUGGGCCGUUACCCCGCCGUCAAGCUAAUGCGCCGCAUGCCCAGCCGCCACCGGAUUCCUCCUUUCGCCCGGACCGGAUGCCCGGUCCGGGCGGCAUGGGGUAUUAGGCCGGGUUUCCCCGGGUUAUCCCCCUGUGGCGGGCAGGUUCCAUACGUGUUACUCACCCGUGCGCCGGUCGCCGGCAGGUGC
Molecule: ribosomal RNA, 275 nt
Filed under: uncultured bacterium
Lineage: Bacteria
Description: partial 16S ribosomal RNA
Source: RNAcentral